AGGCCUGAAGUGCAAGGGGGCGAGGCCUGCAGGGGCCGACUGGGGACAGAAGGGACCAACUGGGGCAAGGGCCUGGGGCUGUUAUAACCUCCCUCCUCUCACACUUUGGUCUCUGAGCACGAUGACUUUUGUUGAGAAAUGCUGCUGGUGCUGGUGGUGGCAUUGGGUUCCAAACGCAGUGGCUGCCGGCAGACGACUUUCACAAGGGCAUUCUGAGCUGUAUGAUACAAACUGCUAAUUGUAUCAACACGAAGAAGGAGAUGGCUCUGAAGAAGGUGGGUGAGGACAUUGGACUACCUGACAUUUUUUUCGAGGAAGCUGAAGAGUCUCAGGGGCUAGCAUCUGAAGCAGAGGAAGGAGUCAGAGAGAAGGAGCAGGUCAGCGACAGAGAACAGACACAUAUUUGCAGGUUGUAUACUCACAGAAGGCACUAAUCAUGGCUCUAAGAAUACAGUCUACCUGAAUCCCUUCUCUUAAUUUUGUUCUUCUAGAAUUGUCCUCUGUCUGGAGACGGUGGAUGGCAGGAGCCAUUUGAAUCCAGAGAGGUGUAACUGUGGUCUGUGAAGUCCAAUAAGUCAAACCAACAGUAUAUCACUCAAACACAAACAGUUUCAGUAAUGGGAGAAGUUGUUGUACUCAAGUGUUCAACUAUAGCAAGCAUUACCAGGGUCCCGGGAAGUUACAAUACAAGAGACUUUAGCAAGAUGGCUGUCGGCAAUGAGCCCUUAAUUAAUGGUGUUUCCUCAGGACUAAAAUACUGAAGUGCAAUGUGAACUAUGCUAAACUCAUUGGGAGGCAGCUAACAACUAAUCAUCCCUAGAGCAGCAGCAUGUGUGUCUGUAAGUGUGAGAGACUAUUCAUGUCCGAGCACAUUACAGUUAAUGUGGUGGGCAACAAGUUGACAUUCCACAUUAAUUGUGUUCCUUGGAAGAGGUGUUAGCUAAGCCACUGGCCGGUAGACUUAAGCACAAUUAAUGUGAUCCCCAGUAGCAGGUCCUGGCCCGCAUUCCACUUUCUCUCAAUCAGCCGACCGACACGUUAUCUGUUCCGUGUUCACCAAAUCUAAUCAGCUGGGUGAUUGCUCUUUUCCCUGUUUGGCUCCAGUGAGUGAUAUUUAAAAAAAGACUCUGCAGUGACCAACCCCAAGACAAGUCGUGCUCUGGGCCCUCAAAGACGUGUGAUAAUUGACUUAAUAUGCAGGGUGAAUGCUGAGAACGUGCCGCUCACUAGUGCAGCCGAAGACCUGCUAAGUAUGUGUGCUGUUACAGGAGCCACGGAGCUUGGACAGUGAGGGUCUAUGCUUAACAACACAAAAAUGUAUUGGUUUUUAAUGCUUCAUUGGUUUCAGCGCCACUCAGUGACCUCAUUGCUUUAAAAUUGCAGCUGAUGAAAAGGGGGAAAUAUCAUUUGGCUUGAAAUAGGCACGCUGCAUUUCACAGGCAAUUAGCUGUGUAGCCACCAAACUGGACUUCAGUCUCAUACUGUGAGUCAAACAGGCACAGAGACCAUGUAGGCCUGAACAAAUUAAAUCCUCUUGCAGCUAUAUAACUGUGAAAUUAAUACUAAAAGGAACCUCUUGAAAGUCUAGGAAAUUGUCCACAGUGAUACUUCACAGUAGCCUGACGUUGUCAGACUCACAAUUCUAGUCAGAAUGUGAGUCUGAGACCGCUCCAUUGGGCUGUGAUUAUGGGGCGUGUUUCAACUGACCAGGAAGUAAAAUUCCUCUUCGCUCAAUUGGAUAGACCUACAACCAAUCAGAGCAACGUAGUAUGUGACGUAUGCUAAGCAACGCAUUGUGAGUUAUUUACUAACGCCGGGUUCACACCGGACGCUUCAGCGCAGCGCCAAGCCUUAAAUAACAGCUGGCUCCCAUCCACUCCCAUGUUAAAACUUU
Long non-coding RNA from Pleuronectes platessa (European plaice), 1894 nucleotides. RefSeq lists it as uncharacterized. The transcript has 3 exons. NCBI's taxonomy places the organism in Eukaryota, Metazoa, Chordata, Actinopteri, Pleuronectiformes, Pleuronectidae. The record is from RefSeq and is a predicted model, not a curated record.